CAGGUAGAGUACUUCUUUUGCAAGAAGCAGGGGUGCUGGAAGAGGAACUGUCCUCUAUACAUUGCCUCACUGGACUCGAACAGGCCAAAGAAGAAGCAAGGUACUUAUAUGAUAACACCUUGUAACUUUUCCAUUUGUGAUACUACUACCUGGGUAUUGGAUACCGGAAGUCCUUAUCAUAUUUGCAAUUCGAUGCAGGGUCUACAGGUCAGUAGGAGAUUUGAUGAAGGCGAGAGGGUCCUGAAUGUUGGAGAUGGAAGCAAAGUUCCAGUUCUAGCUCUAGGAAUCAUGAACCUUAUAAUCAAUUCUCGAAAUAUAAUUCUGAGUGAAUGUCACUAUUGUCCAAGCUUUUUAUUAAAUAUUAUUUCUGUAGGCCUUUUGGCCAUGUAC
This 390-nucleotide long non-coding RNA is filed under the name Elaeis guineensis (African oil palm). RNAcentral describes it as "long non-coding RNA (EGUI_LNC068095)". Lineage: Eukaryota; Viridiplantae; Streptophyta; Magnoliopsida; Arecales; Arecaceae. The record is from RNAcentral.